RNAcentral lists this unclassified non-coding RNA (328 nucleotides) under soil metagenome. RNAcentral describes it as "partial contains 5.8S ribosomal RNA, internal transcribed spacer 2, and large subunit ribosomal RNA". The stretch from base 1 to 120 matches the Rfam family "5.8S ribosomal RNA", at positions 35 to 154 of the family's 154-position model. The record is from RNAcentral.
GAUGAAGAACGCAGCGAAAUGCGAUAAGUAGUGUGAAUUGCAGAAUUCAGUGAAUCAUCGAAUCUUUGAACGCACAUUGCGCCCCUUGGUAUUCCAUGGGGCAUGCCUGUUCGAGCGUCAUUAUAACCCUCAAGCUCAGCUUGGUGUUGGGGCCUGCUGCACUGGCAGCCCUUAAAAUCAGUGGCGGCGCCAUCUGGCUCUAAGCGUAGUAAUUCUUCUCGCUAUGGAGUCCUGGUGGAUGCUUGCCAUCAACCCCCAAUUUUUCUAUGGUUGACCUCGGAUCAGGUAGGGAUACCCGCUGAACUUAAGCAUAUCAAUAAGCGGAGGA